This 338-nucleotide ribosomal RNA is filed under the name uncultured bacterium. RNAcentral's name for it is "bacterial SSU rRNA". It matches the Rfam family "Bacterial small subunit ribosomal RNA", at positions 32 to 353 of the family's 1533-position model. The record is from RNAcentral.
AAUCAACGCUGGCGGCGUGCCUAACACAUGCAAGUCGAACGAGAAAGUGACUUCGGUCACUGGACAGUGGCGUCCGGGUGAGUAACACGUGGGUAAUCUACCUUCGGGUGGGAAUAACGUCUCGAAAGAGACGCUAAUACCGCAUAAUGCAGCGGCACCUUAUGGUGAAUAGUUGUUAAAGCGGGGGAUCGCAAGACCUCGCGCCUGAAGAGGAGCCUGCGGCAGAUUAGCUAGUUGGUGAGGUAAUGGCUCACCAAGGCUGCGAUCUGUAGCUGGUCUGAGAGGACGGCCAGCCACACUGGCACUGACACACGGGCCAGACUCCUACGGGAGCAGCA